AAUGUUUGUUUAUAUUUUUUCCAGCCGGCAAAACGUAGCUUUUAGCUUAGCCGUCAGCACAUUCACUUUCGUUUGCACAAGUUGCCAAACAGAGAACUUAUUGAACGAAACUGGUCCGACAGACCGGUCGGCAACUAUUGCAUGUUGCAAUUGCAAAACUGUGCGAUUAAGCUCUAAUGCAACGCUAAAUGUUGCAAAAAUGAAAUGCGAAUGCUUAGACUGCGGUUUGCGCAAAUCACUGCCGCUUCACUUUUGGAUCCGAUUUUAUGCGUCUCGGUGAGCGGCAAACGCGUUGGUUAGACAUGCGAAAACUCGUCAAACUUUUCAGUUGCAACGUAGACAGCAAUAAUUUUCCGCUGCACGAUUGCACAGUGUCCAGUGGCGGGCCUCUUGCUUGCUGCGGCAGAGAUAGCAGCAGGUGUGAUGAAUCAACUGUCGUUGCUGCUAAUGCAAUGCUAACUGAAUUUGCCGACACGAUAAUUGCAUACCUGGAUGUGUUGCAAGUAAUUGCUGUGCGGUAUUGCAACUGUUUACCUAUGCGCGCUUUACACUGACCUUGCCCAACGUCAGCGAUGACCAACUCCAAUUAGUGUCUCUUUUCAUCAGAAACAAGACCAGUGUUCUCGGCAUAAAGAGAUGAAAGUUAGAGCGGCAGAAGAAUGCAGUGAGCUUAUGCUGAAGUUAGCAUAGCUUGAUUAAGGAACCGGUGGGUAAAUAUGUAAGUGCUAAUUUGGUUAUGCUUCUGAAAGCGAAUAAGCGCGUGAAUUAUGCAUUUACCAUAUGAACAUAUAUGAAGUGAAAGCAAAUAGAGAAAUGAAGAAAUGAAGCUAAGACCUUACCAUGAAUCUGAUAGAAUACAUAUACAUUUUAUUGCUGCGAACUUGGUUCCAUGAAGUCUCAUUAAUCACAGCCACUAACAGCACUCUUUUUAAAGUGCACUUGAAGGUGACAGGUGUUUAAUCGCCUAUCUCAUGUAAUUUAUUUAUACAUUCAUAUUUUUUCGUGUCGUGUAUGUAAGUAAGUAAUUUGCAUGCGAGCAUUAGUUAAACAAUAUUAACUGUUAAAUAAUUCUGUUCAUAUUUAUUCUAUACAUCAAAAUAAAUGGAGUUAUAAUAAUAA
Bactrocera oleae (olive fruit fly) is the source of this 1119-nucleotide non-coding RNA. The record is from RefSeq and is a predicted model, not a curated record. Lineage: Eukaryota; Metazoa; Arthropoda; Insecta; Diptera; Tephritidae.